AGGGCAGUAGCUCUAAUUGGCAGAGCGACGGACUCCAAAUCCGUAGGUUCGGGGUUCGAGUCCCCGCUGCCCUGCCA
This 77-nucleotide transfer RNA is filed under the name Acidobacteriota bacterium. RNAcentral describes it as "Acidobacteria bacterium (sponge metagenome) tRNA-Trp". It matches the Rfam family "tRNA". From Rfam's summary of the family: Transfer RNA (tRNA) molecules are approximately 80 nucleotides in length. The record is from RNAcentral. Lineage: Bacteria; Pseudomonadati; Acidobacteriota.